RNAcentral lists this ribosomal RNA (438 nucleotides) under uncultured bacterium. RNAcentral's name for it is "bacterial SSU rRNA". It matches the Rfam family "Bacterial small subunit ribosomal RNA", at positions 30 to 471 of the family's 1533-position model. The record is from RNAcentral.
AUUGAACGCUGGCGGCAUGCCUUACACAUGCAAGUCGAACGGCAGCACGGGAGCAAUCCUGGUGGCGAGUGGCGAACGGGUGAGUAAUAUAUCGGAACGUGCCCAGUCGUGGGGAUAACGUAGCGAAAGCUACGCUAAUACCGCAUACGAUCUAUGGAUGAAAGCGGGGGAUCGCAAGACCUCGCGCGAUUGGAGCGGCCGAUAUCAGAUUAGGUAGUUGGUGAGGUAAAGGCUCACCAAGCCGACGAUCUGUAGCUGGUCUGAGAGGACGACCAGCCACACUGGGACUGAGACACGGCCCAGACUCCUACGGGAGGCAGCAGUGGGGAAUUUUGGACAAUGGGCGCAAGCCUGAUCCAGCAAUGCCGCGUGCAGGAUGAAGGCCUUCGGUUGUAACUGCUUUGUACGGAACGAAACGGUGAGCUCUAAUACAGUUUG